This 450-nucleotide unclassified non-coding RNA is filed under the name Zea mays. RNAcentral's name for it is "misc RNA Zm00001eb311970". The record is from RNAcentral. Lineage: Eukaryota; Viridiplantae; Streptophyta; Magnoliopsida; Poales; Poaceae.
AAGGUACUAAAAAAAGGUCUUUCAAAAAUCUGAGUGGGCUUUUAUUUCACAAAAAAAAAAACAAUCAAGAUGCUGAUAAAGACAAGAGUCAUAUGGAGAGAGAGAGAGAGAGACAUAGCUAUGCCAUCAGAGAGGAAACUGAGGGGAAACAACCAAUAAAUCGAAGAAUAUAUAAUGCAAGUAUGACAAAAGAUGGGAUGACAAGAAAGAUGGAGCGGAGGAAGAAAAAAACUCGACUAAAGCCAAAAGACAGGUUCCCCUGUACGUACGUGCUCCCGCUUGCUUCCAAGCUGCUCAGAAAUCAUGUUUCCUACCCAAUCCCAGUUCUUGGUAAUAAAAAUUAAUAUGCCCGAUCACAGCGUGGCUAUAAUAGAAGUCUUUCUUAAUUUUGGAGCUAUGCUGCUCCGUACAUACGGAGUACUAGACUUCGUAAAACCUCAGAUUUACCUA